AGCCUGAACGCUGGCGGCGUGGUUAAGACAUGCAAGUCGUACGGUGUAGCAAUACACAGUGGCGAACGGGUGAGUAAUGAAUCGCUAAUGUACCCCGGACUCUGGGAUAGCUAUCCGAAAGGAUAGGUAAUACCAGAUGAUAUAACUUUAUCGCAUGAUAGAGUUCUCAAAGGUCCGCCGGUCUGGGAGCAGGCGAUUUUGAUCAGCUAGUUGGUGAGGUAACGGCUCACCAAGGCGAUGACGCAUAGCCGGACUGAGAGGUUGGCCGGCCACAUUGGGACUGAGACACUGCCCAGACUCCUACGGGGGGCUGCAGUAACGAAUCUUCCGCAAUGCACGAAAGUGUGACGGAGCGACGCCGCGUGUGGGACGAAGCCCUUCGGGGUGUAAACCACUGUCAAGAGAUAGAAAGUUCUGAUCAUCUCUAGAGGAAGGCACGGCUAACUCUAGCGCCAGCAGCCGCGGU
This 466-nucleotide ribosomal RNA is filed under the name uncultured bacterium. RNAcentral describes it as "SSU rRNA". It matches the Rfam family "Bacterial small subunit ribosomal RNA", at positions 26 to 521 of the family's 1533-position model. The record is from RNAcentral.